UUUAAUACAAAAACAUAGGCAUCAAAGAUUCAUAUUUCACAUAUAUCAAGCCAAAAAUAGCUGCGCAUCAUACAAUUUUUAGAAUAAUUUUUUAUGCACAAAAUCAUCAUAAAAUGACUCAUAUGAACACCAAAUCAAGCAUGAAGAUAUUCUAACUAACAUAACCCUUAUCUCUUGUGCAAAUCAGUCUUUAAACACCAAGAAUCACCUAAACAAAAGUAAGAGGACAAUUAAUAUUGGAUUUUAAGUCUUCUUGGCCAAAUUGGGUGUCAGAAAAAUGAUAAAUUUUCAUCCACUUUGAGCUUAAAUUUUGAGUGCUUUAGACAUGUCUCCUUAACACUUUCAAGAGUGAUUUUUAAACAUGGAAGAGAGCAACAUACUUACAUACCUUCUUAGUUUCAGAUUCAAAAUUGAAAAAGAAAGGGUGAAGAAUGAUGGUUACCUUUGCUGGACUUUGUAUAGAAAAACAAGAGAAUAAAAAAAGAAUAAGAAAAUGGACUUGAAAGACUUGAAUCCUUGAAGAACCCACCAAAAACUAUGGAAGAACAAUGAAUAAU
Molecule: long non-coding RNA, 557 nt
Filed under: Arachis ipaensis
Lineage: Eukaryota; Viridiplantae; Streptophyta; Magnoliopsida; Fabales; Fabaceae
Description: long non-coding RNA (AIPA_LNC002407)
Source: RNAcentral